RNAcentral lists this unclassified non-coding RNA (316 nucleotides) under Hevea brasiliensis (rubber tree). Lineage: Eukaryota; Viridiplantae; Streptophyta; Magnoliopsida; Malpighiales; Euphorbiaceae. The record is from RNAcentral.
UUUUUGUUCUAAUUUUUUUUUUUUUUUUUAUAAUUUUGACAAGGGGAAAGUUUGAGAUUUGGAUAAUACUGGUCUCAGAAUUGAUAUGCCAGUCUUUCUCAGGGGAAGUUAGCAGAGCUGGUUGAGCACAUCUGUUCUGGGAACCUGCUACGCUAUUUCAAGUAUUGUGUGCUAGCUCGGGGGUUGUUCCUUUUUUUUUGUCGUCUCUUUGUUGGCUGCACAAACCUAAUUGUAAUUUGUUGGGAUUGAUGUAUUAAAAUUAUUGAGGAUCCAGCUGGUGUGUUCUUGAUGCUGCUAAUGAUAAUGAUAAAUGUGG